AAUCCUACGGGACGCAGCAGUGGGGAAUAUUGCACAAUGGGGGAAACCCUGAUGCAGCGACGCCGCGUGAGUGAAGAAGUAUCUCGGUAUGUAAAGCUCUAUCAGCAGGAAAGAUAAUGACGGUACCUGACUAAGAAGCCCAGGCUAACUACGUGCCAGCAGCCGCGGUAAUACGUAGGGGGCAAGCGUUAUCCGGAUUUACUGGGUGUAAAGGGAGCGUAGACGGCAGCGCAAGUCUGGAGUGAAAUGCCGGGGCCCAACCCAGGCACGGCUUUGGAAACUGGGCGGCUCGAGUGCGGGAGAGG
Molecule: ribosomal RNA, 305 nt
Filed under: uncultured bacterium
Lineage: Bacteria
Description: bacterial SSU rRNA
Rfam family: Bacterial small subunit ribosomal RNA
Source: RNAcentral